CUCUCACCGCCAUGGAGUUCGACCUAGGAGCAGGUGAGCUCCUGGGGAGUGUGGAUGGGAGGUGCAGGGGGCCGGACUCAAGCCCAGAAGCUGCGUGCACCAACCACCCAACUUCUCUCCACAGCCCUGGAGCCCACCUCCCAGAAGCCCGGUGUGGGGGCGGGCCAUGGGGGAGACCCCAAGCUCAGUCCCCACAAAGUUCAGGGCCGGCCGGAGGCAGGGGCAGGUCCGGGUCCAAAGCAAGGACACCACAGCUCUUCCGACUCUAGCAGCAGCUCCAGCGACUCGGACACGGAUGUGAAGCCCCACGCUGCUGGCUCCAAGCAGCACGAGAGCACCCCAGGCAAGGCCAAGAAGCCCAAAGUGAAGAAGAAGAAGGAGAAGGGCAAGAAGGAGGCUCCCCACUGAAGGGCCCUGGACAGGGCUCAUUAAAUCUUCCUCUCUGCC
This 447-nucleotide small RNA is filed under the name Pongo abelii (Sumatran orangutan). RNAcentral's name for it is "retained intron". The record is from RNAcentral. Lineage: Eukaryota; Metazoa; Chordata; Mammalia; Primates; Hominidae.